AGUGUAGGAAGCAAGAGGAUUAUAAAAGAAGCAUAGGAACAACCCCAGAUUGGAGGAGAAACUAGUUGGGACCAUUAAUCUGAAGAAUAAGAAGGAACUACCUUGAGUUGGGCAAUCAUUAAGUUUCUGAGUGAAUGUGCAGGUGAAGCAUGUAUUUUGAGGUGGUUUAAGGGUGACCCAUUUGUGGUGAAUGUGUAUUUUGUAUCUACCUUGUUGCACUUGGGAAAAGACGUAUAUUUCCUAUGAUAUAUUUGGUAUUUUGAUGUGUAUGACAACUUUUAGUAGUAAUUAUGUAGAUGAAGAUCUUGUGAUGUAAUAAUUAGUGUUUUUUUUUUCUUCAAGCAUAUCUACUUUUGUCUAAAACCCACCAAGUAAUAGCUCGAUGGUCCUGGUUAGUCUUCCGUUGUCAUAUAAUCAGUUAAUUAUGUAAGUACGUUUAUACGGGCUAUUGCAUAUAAUUACAAAUUCACCUUCUUCUA
This is a long non-coding RNA of Spinacia oleracea (spinach), 479 nucleotides long. RefSeq lists it as uncharacterized. The record is from RefSeq and is a predicted model, not a curated record. The transcript is spliced from 3 exons. Lineage: Eukaryota; Viridiplantae; Streptophyta; Magnoliopsida; Caryophyllales; Amaranthaceae.